AAGAUAGAGGUUGCGUUUUUCAAGAGUAUUUUUUCGGAGGUAACAGGUACCGUUGAGGGAAGAAGAAAGGGGAACACGCCGAAAGAUAAGGUAUCCUGUAUAUUGUUAUCUUGGGCAUACGUUUAAGAAGCGUAUGACUGUCAUCUCGUAAGCAGAUGGGGCGCUAUCAA
This 170-nucleotide non-coding RNA is filed under the name Waltera intestinalis. RNAcentral describes it as "Lysine riboswitch". It matches the Rfam family "Lysine riboswitch aptamer". From Rfam's summary of the family: Riboswitches are metabolite binding domains within certain messenger RNAs that serve as precision sensors for their corresponding targets. Allosteric rearrangement of mRNA structure is mediated by ligand binding, and this results in modulation of gene expression. The record is from RNAcentral. Lineage: Bacteria; Bacillati; Bacillota; Clostridia; Lachnospirales; Lachnospiraceae.